UACAGAGGUCUCAAGCGUUGUUCGGAAUCACUGGGCGUAAAGGGUGCGUAGGCCGCAUGGUAAGUCAGGUGUGAAAGCCCGGAGCUCAACUCCGGAACUGCACCCGAUACUGCCGUGCUUGAGGACUGGAGAGGAGUCUGGAAUUCACAGUGGAGUAGUGAAAUGCGUAGAUAUUGUGAGGAACACUAGUGGCGAAGGCGAGACUCUGGACAGUUCCUGACGCUGAGGCACGAAGGCCAGGGGAGCAAACGGG
RNAcentral lists this ribosomal RNA (253 nucleotides) under uncultured bacterium. Its description in RNAcentral is "partial 16S ribosomal RNA". It matches the Rfam family "Bacterial small subunit ribosomal RNA", at positions 524 to 776 of the family's 1533-position model. The record is from RNAcentral.